This 465-nucleotide ribosomal RNA is filed under the name Vreelandella stevensii. RNAcentral's name for it is "partial 16S ribosomal RNA". It matches the Rfam family "Bacterial small subunit ribosomal RNA", at positions 338 to 795 of the family's 1533-position model. The record is from RNAcentral. Lineage: Bacteria; Pseudomonadati; Pseudomonadota; Gammaproteobacteria; Oceanospirillales; Halomonadaceae.
CCUACGUGCUGCAGCAGUGGGGAAUAUUGGACAAUGGGCGAAAGCCUGAUCCAGCCAUGCCGCGUGUGUGAAGAAGGCCUUCGGGUUGUAAAGCACUUUCAGUGGGGAAGAAAGCCUUGGGGCUAAUACCCUCGAGGAAGGACAUCACCCACAGAAGAAGCACCGGCUAACUCCGUGCCAGCAGCCGCGGUAAUACGGAGGGUGCGAGCGUUAAUCGGAAUUACUGGGCGUAAAGCGCGCGUAGGCGGUCUGAUAAGCCGGUUGUGAAAGCCCCGGGCUCAACCUGGGAACGGCAUCCGGAACUGUCAGGCUAGAGUGCAGGAGAGGAAGGUAGAAUUCCCGGUGUAGCGGUGAAAUGCGUAGAGAUCGGGAGGAAUACCAGUGGCGAAGGCGGCCUUCUGGACUGACACUGACGCUGAGGUGCGAAAGCGUGGGUAGCAAACAGGAUUAGAUACCCUAGUAGUC